GACGAACGCUGGCGGCGUGCUUAACACAUGCAAGUCGAACGGAAAGGCCCUGCUUUUGUGGGGUGCUCGAGUGGCGAACGGGUGAGUAACACGUGAGUAACCUGCCCUUGACUUUGGGAUAACUUCAGGAAACUGGGGCUAAUACCGGAUAGGAGCUCCUGCUGCAUGGUGGGGGUUGGAAAGUUUCGGCGGUUGGGGAUGGACUCGCGGCUUAUCAGCUUGUUGGUGGGGUAGUGGCUUACCAAGGCUUUGACGGGUAGCCGGCCUGAGAGGGUGACCGGCCACAUUGGGACUGAGAUACGGCCCAGACUCCUACGGGAGGCAGCAGUGGGGAAUAUUGCACAAUGGGCGGAAGCCUGAUGCAGCAGCGCCGCGUGCGGGAUGAAGGCCUUCGGGUUGUAAACCGCUUUCGCCUGUGACGAAGCGUGAGUGACGGUAAUGGGUAAAGAAGCACCGGCUAACUACGUG
Molecule: ribosomal RNA, 468 nt
Filed under: uncultured bacterium
Lineage: Bacteria
Description: partial 16S ribosomal RNA
Rfam family: Bacterial small subunit ribosomal RNA
Source: RNAcentral